RNAcentral lists this ribosomal RNA (661 nucleotides) under uncultured Prevotella sp. RNAcentral describes it as "bacterial SSU rRNA". It matches the Rfam family "Bacterial small subunit ribosomal RNA", at positions 94 to 753 of the family's 1533-position model. The record is from RNAcentral. Lineage: Bacteria; Pseudomonadati; Bacteroidota; Bacteroidia; Bacteroidales; Prevotellaceae.
ACCGGCGCACGGGUGAGUAUCGCGUAUCCAACCUGCCCCUUACUCAGGGAUAACCCGUCGAAAGACGGACUAAUACUUGAUGUAAUUUCGAAUAGGCAUCUGUUUGAAAUGAAAGAUUUAUCGGUAUGGGAUGGGGAUGCGUCUGAUUAGCUUGUUGGUGAGGUAACGGCUCACCAAGGCAUCGAUCAGUAGGGGUUCUGAGAGGAAGGUCCCCCACAUUGGAACUGAGACACGGUCCAAACUCCUACGGGAGGCAGCAGUGAGGAAUAUUGGUCAAUGGACGAGAGUCUGAACCAGCCAAGUAGCGUGCAGGAUGACGGCCCUAUGGGUUGUAAACUGCUUUUGUUAGGGAAUAAAAGACGUUACGUGUAAUGUUUUGUAUGUACCUUUCGAAUAAGGACCGGCUAAUUCCGUGCCAGCAGCCGCGGUAAUACGGAAGGUCCCGGCGUUAUCCGGAUUUAUUGGGUUUAAAGGGAGUGUAGGCGGCUUGUUAAGCGUGUUGUGAAAUGUAGAUGCUCAACAUCUGAAUUGCAGCGCGAACUGGCUUGCUUGAGUUCACACAACGUAGGCGGAAUUCAUGGUGUAGCGGUGAAAUGCUUAGAUAUCAUGACGAACUCCGAUUGCGAAGGCAGCUUACGGGAGUGUUACUGACGCUUAAGCU